CCUACGGGAGGCAGCAGUGGGGAAUUUUGGACAAUGGGCGAAAGCCUGAUCCAGCAAUGCCGCGUGCAGGACGAAGGCCUUCGGGUUGUAAACUGCUUUUGUACGGAACGAAACGGCUUUCUCUAAUAAAGGGGGCUAAUGACGGUACCGUAAGAAUAAGCACCGGCUAACUACGUGCCAGCAGCCGCGGUAAUACGUAGGGUGCAAGCGUUAAUCGGAAUUACUGGGCGUAAAGCGUGCGCAGGCGGUUAUAUAAGACAGAUGUGAAAUCCCCGGGCUCAACCUGGGACCCGCAUUUGUGACUGUAUAGCUAGAGUACGGUAGAGGGGGAUGGAAUUCCGCGUGUAGCAGUGAAAUGCGUAGAUAUGCGGAGGAACACCGAUGGCGAAGGCAAUCCCCUGGACCUGUACUGACGCUCAUGCACGAAAGCGUGGGGAGCAAACAGGAUUAGAUACCCUGGUAGUCCACGCCCUAAACGAUGUCAACUGGUUGUUGGGUCUUCACUGACUCAGUAACGAAGCUAACGCGUGAAGUUGACCGCCUGGGGAGUACGGCCGCAAGGUUGAAACUCAAAUGAAUUGACCGGNUGAGACGNGCGAGACGACGACGAGGAGGAGG
Molecule: ribosomal RNA, 618 nt
Filed under: uncultured bacterium
Lineage: Bacteria
Description: bacterial SSU rRNA
Rfam family: Bacterial small subunit ribosomal RNA
Source: RNAcentral